CCUACGGGAGGCAGCAGUGAGGAAUAUUGGUCAAUGGCCGGAAGGCUGAACCAGCCAUGCCGCGUGAAGGUCAGUGCCCUAUGGGCGUUAAACUUCUUUUGUGCGGGAGCAAUAAUGGUCACGUGUGGCCAGACGAGAGUACCGUACGAAUAAGCAUCGGCUAACUCCGUGCCAGCAGCCGCGGUAAUACGGGGGAUGCAAGCGUUAUCCGGAUUUAUUGGGGUUAAAGGGUGCGUAGGCUGUGAGGUAAGUCAGCGGUGAAAUGCCCCCGCUCAACGGGGUGAAGUGCCAUUGAUACUGCCUUGCUGGAAGGCGGAUGCCGUGGGAGGAAUGUGUGGUGGAGCGGUGAAAUGCAUAGAUAUCACACAGAACACCGAUUGCGAAGGCAUCUCACGAAUCCGCGAUUGACGCUGAUGCACGAAAGCGUGGGUAUCAAACAGGAUUAGAUACCCUAGUAGUC
Molecule: ribosomal RNA, 460 nt
Filed under: uncultured bacterium
Lineage: Bacteria
Description: partial 16S ribosomal RNA
Rfam family: Bacterial small subunit ribosomal RNA
Source: RNAcentral